Molecule: ribosomal RNA, 848 nt
Filed under: uncultured bacterium
Lineage: Bacteria
Description: SSU rRNA
Rfam family: Bacterial small subunit ribosomal RNA
Source: RNAcentral
UACGUGGGUCACAAGCGUUAUCCGAUGUAACUGGGCGUAAAGCGUGUGUAGGUGGUUAAUUAAGUUACUUUUCAAAUCUUCCUGCUCACCAGGAAAAAGGAAGGUAAUACUCAUUAACUAGAGUUAUCUUUAGGGAAACUGGAAUUUAUGGAGGAGUAGUGAAAUGCGUUGAUACCAUAAAGAACACCAGUGGCGAAGGCGAGUUUCUGGAAGAUAACUGACACUGAGACACGAAAGCUAGGGGAGCGAACCGGAUUAGAGACCCGGGUAGUCCUAGCUGUAAACAAUGCUCGCUGGCUGCUCUGCUUUUUAGCGGGGUGGCGAAGUUAACACGUUAAGCGAGCCGCCUGGGAAGUAUAGUCGCAAGACUGAAACUCAAAGGAAUUGGCGGGGAGACACACAACUAGUGGAGCAUGUGGUUUAAUUCGAUACGAAACGAAGAACCUCACCAAGGUUUGACAUACCAGCGUUCUAUUUUGCCGAAAGGCAGAAAAUCCGCAAGGAGGCUGGAAAAGCUGUUGCAUGGCUGUCGUCAGUUCGUUCUGUGAAGAGUGCCCUUAAGUGGGACAACGAACGCAACCUUCAUCCCGAGUUAUAUUUGUCUCGGGAGACUACUUCGACUUUACGUCGGAGAGGAAGAGAAGCAGACGUCAAGUCAGCAUGACGCCUAUGCCUUGGGCUACACACAUGCUACAAUGGGAACUAUAAAGAGUUGCGAACUCGCAAGGGUAAGCGAAUCUCAAAAAGGUUUUCUCAGUGGGGAUUGGGGUCUGCAAUUCGACCCCAUGAACGCGGAAUUAGUAGUAAUCGCGGAUCAGCUAUGCCGCGGUGAAUACGUUCUUGUCUCU